Long non-coding RNA from Homo sapiens (human), 623 nucleotides. Ensembl annotates it as long intergenic non-protein coding RNA 1393. The record is from Ensembl. NCBI's taxonomy places the organism in Eukaryota, Metazoa, Chordata, Mammalia, Primates, Hominidae.
CACACACUCUCCCUCCCCACCAUGUGAGGAUACAGGGAGAAAGCACUUAUCUGCAAGCCAGGAAGUGAACCCUUGCCAAAGCCCAACCAUGCAGGCACCCUGAUCUCAAACUUUCAGACUCCAGAACUCCACACUCUCCUCUUUGGUCUUUCCUGGUACGCAGCAUACAAGCCCACAGAUUGAGGACUCUGCACUUGCUGUUCUCUCUGCCUGGAGCUCUAUGGCUCCAGAUAGACUCCUGCCAACUCCUUCGCCUUGUCCAAGUUACCUUCAUUAAAUGUCAGCUUAAAUGUGUGCCUACUUUUUGCCCUACCUAGAAUUGCAAGCACCUCUCACCACUGUGCUCCCAUUCUCCUUAACUUAAGCCACUUUUAUUCUCAUAAUAAAGCCACAUAUUUUUUCUUAUUAUAUCAUAAUCGUACUGUAUAAUUUAUAUUUUAUUACUUUUGUUUGUAUACUUAUUGUAUGUUUCUGUUCACAAGGAUGUAAACCCCAUGAACACAGAGAUCUUUGAUUGUUUUAUUCACUGAUUUAUGCCAAAUGUUUGGAACAAUGCCUGGCACAUAGUAGAUGUUUGAUAAUUUUUUUUUUUUCUGAAUGAAUAAAUACAUUUUAGCCAAAUA